GAUGAACGCUGGCGGCGUGCCUAAUACAUGCAAGUCGAGCGAACGGACGAGAAGCUUGCUUUUCUGAUGUUAGCGGCGGACGGGUGAGUAACACGUGGAUAACCUACCUAUAAGACUGGGAUAACUUCGGGAAACCGGAGCUAAUACCGGAUAAUAUUUUGAACCGCAUGGUUCAAAAGUGAAAGACGGUCUUGCUGUCACUUAUAGAUGGAUCCGCGCUGCAUUAGCUAGUUGGUAAGGUAACGGCUUACCAAGGCAACGAUGCAUAGCCGACCUGAGAGGGUGAUCGGCCACACUGUAACUGAGACACGGUCCAGACUCCUACGGGAGGCCGCAGUAGGGAAUCUUCCGCAAUGGGCGAAAGCCUGACGGAGCAACGCCGCGUGAGUGAUGAAGGUCUUCGGAUCGUAAAACUCUGUUAUUAGGGAAGAACAUAUGUGUAAGUAACUGUGCACAUCUUGACGGUACCUAAUCAGAAAGCCACGGCUAACUACGUG
Molecule: ribosomal RNA, 497 nt
Filed under: uncultured bacterium
Lineage: Bacteria
Description: partial 16S ribosomal RNA
Rfam family: Bacterial small subunit ribosomal RNA
Source: RNAcentral